ACAGGCUUAACACAUGCAAGUCGAGGGGUAGCAGGGUAGCAAUACCACUGACGACCGGCGCACGGGUGAGUAACACGUAUCCAACCUUCCCAUAACUCGGGGAUAGCCUUUCGAAAGAAAGAUUAAUACCCGAUAGUACUUUUUCAAGGCAUCUUGAGAAAGUUAAAGAUUUAUUGGUUAUGGAUGGGGAUGCGUUCCAUUAGAUAGUUGGUGAGGUAACGGUUCACCAAGUCUUCGAUGGAUAGGGGUUCUGAGAGGAAGGUCCCCCACAUUGGUACUGAGACACGGACCAAACUCCUACGGGAGGCAGCAGUGAGGAAUAUUGGUCAAUGGGCGAGAGCCUGAACCAGCCAAGUAGCGUGAAGGAUGACGG
Molecule: ribosomal RNA, 373 nt
Filed under: uncultured Bacteroidales bacterium
Lineage: Bacteria; Pseudomonadati; Bacteroidota; Bacteroidia; Bacteroidales
Description: bacterial SSU rRNA
Rfam family: Bacterial small subunit ribosomal RNA
Source: RNAcentral